This is a long non-coding RNA of Lemur catta (Ring-tailed lemur), 293 nucleotides long. RefSeq lists it as uncharacterized. The record is from RefSeq and is a predicted model, not a curated record. Lineage: Eukaryota; Metazoa; Chordata; Mammalia; Primates; Lemuridae. The transcript is spliced from 3 exons.
AAGUGCAGUGCAUCCUUCAGGAAGAAAACAACAGCUCUCUGCUUUGCAUCAGAAUUUUCAGAGUCCACCAGUGGCCUGUGAGGAGGAAGUUUGACCCCUAGUAACAAGACUUACACCACCUAGGCCCUCAGAGAGGCUGGGCGCAUGAAGAACGAAAAGAAAACCAAAGAGUCUGGUCACGGCGAGUCUCACUGCUCCCCAGCUGAACUCCGGCUGCACUUGCAAAGCACAGACACGGAACACACUCGUGGCAAACCAAGAAGAUGGCCACCUACAAGCCAAGAAGAGGGCCC